RNAcentral lists this long non-coding RNA (1816 nucleotides) under Bos indicus x Bos taurus (hybrid cattle). RNAcentral describes it as "lncRNA (ENSBIXG00005030588.1)". The record is from RNAcentral. Lineage: Eukaryota; Metazoa; Chordata; Mammalia; Artiodactyla; Bovidae.
UUUUCUGAAGGUUAAUUGGCUUUUUCUCUUUUUGUUUUUUUCCUCCACAGAAUUACCAUCUAACACAAGGCCACUUUUCAAGAUGAAGGAGGGAUUGAACUGUCACACCAGUGUAAUCAAUUAAAUGACGGAGGAAGGAGGCAUUUGCUACCUGACCUUAAUCUCCUGGGCAAGAAUGACUGAAUGGGGAAGGCUGAAUACACUUUAAAUCACAAUGGAGAGGUCUACAAUAUUUCUGAAACUUCUUCAGGAGCAGAACUGAAUGAACUUUGGAGCUGCUUGGGCUCUGAUAGAAUUAGUCCUUCUUAGCAGCCGAAUCCAUUUGGCUGUUUCUAUUUGUGGAGUCAAUUGUGAGACAUCCAUUUAUCAUAGCUGUGGAAAACUAGCAGAAGGUCCAGAGGAAAGCCAUGGAAACAAUGAAGAACCAGGAAAAUGGAUUUCAGCCAUGUAUCCAGGAGAGAUUUCUGCUCUGGAUGGAUAUUCCCCUCCCUACACUGACCCCAUGUGUCGUGUCUCUGACGUGAGGUAAGCUCUAGAUUGCCAUGGCAUCUCUGCAUCCUGUCACUUCCUGCCAAGCCUCCUGUCCAAAUCUCCAGGGAGAGUCCAACUCCAGCCAAAGCAAGUCUUGAACUUCAAUCUCAGAACAUCUCAGAUACUUAUUAUAAGUUGUGGGUGAGUAGCAUCAAGUCAGAUUUUAUUUAUUUAUUAUUUUAACUAGUUGGGGGUUGUGUGUGAGUGUGUGUUACUUGCUCAGUCGUAUCUGACCCAUAGGCUGUAGCCCAACAAGCUCCUCUGUCCAUGGAAUUCUCCAGGCAAGAAUAUUGGAGUGGAUAGCCAUUCCCUUCUCCAAGAGAUCUUUAAGACCUAGGGAUCGAACCUGGGUCUCCUGCAUUGCAGGUGGAUUCUUUACCACUGAACCAUCAAGGAAGCCCAGUUUGGGGUGGGAUGAGGUACAAAUAGGGAGUUAACAUGAUUAUGGGCUACAGGUUAAAUGCAUUGAUGAUUUUAUAAUUUUACCAUCAAAUACAUAGACUUGUGGGGGGACUGAAAUGAAAACAGAGCUUCCUUUUAGGACUCAGCUGAUUGAUGGUGCCAGUGGAGAACUUAGUUUGGGGGCCUUCCUUUGUGGAACUGGUUGCUCUGAUAGUCUUGCCAUAUGUUCCAGAGGGCCACCCUCAGACCAUGAGUGACAGAAGUACACAUGUGCUUGAGGUACAAAGGAUGCAGUCUUGGUAACUGCAGGGACAAGUAGAGAUGCUGCUUGGGAGGAAGUCUCAUCUCAGCACUGACUGAUGAAGAGCCCCAACAUAUGACGUUGGGGUUCAUCCUACUUCCGGCUUGCACUCCAAGGCUGCCUGUGGCAGUUGGGCACAAUUUCUUUCAACUGUAGAAGAAUGAGAGAGACCAGAGAAUGGACAGAUUUUGUAAAUACAAUGAAACUGAGAAAGAGCUGGGCCUGGGGAUACAUUAUUCCCCAGCAUGAAUCCAGCUUGUUCAGGGUCCCCUGGUUCUGAGGUUUAUUUCAGGCUCUAUGUUUUCUUAUCUCUGUUCCACCUUCACCUUAUGCUCUCCUGAUUCAUCUUCUCAGUGACCUCAGAGAUUCUAGUGAAUGACAUUAAGGUUACCAUCCAAAAGCCCAUGGCUGCAAACUAUACCAGCUAGAAGGCCCUUUGAUCAAUAAUAUAUCUGGGAAAAGAUGUGUUUCCUCUUUUGUUCCUUUUAGUUUUCUUUCAUACAGAAAAGAAAUCGAAAGAUACCACAACUGGAUAAAUAACUUGGAAAUAAACUCAUCUGAUCUCAGAGUAGCCUUGGGUAG